GUCUAUGGCCAUUCCACCCUGAACACGCACCUGAUCUCGGAAGCUAAGCAGGGUCUGGCCUGGUUAGUACUUAGAUGCGAGACAGCCUGGAAAUACCGGGUGCUGCAGGCU
Cavia porcellus (domestic guinea pig) is the source of this 111-nucleotide ribosomal RNA. The record is from Ensembl. Lineage: Eukaryota; Metazoa; Chordata; Mammalia; Rodentia; Caviidae.